AUUUUAUUCAAACUCGGUAAAUAAGGAAUACAAUGGCUUUUAGCCAGUUCACAAAUAUCAUAAUAAAAAUUUGAAACACUUAAAUCUGCAAAAAGAUGUGGUCGUAAUUUUUUAAGAUAUACAAAAGAAAGAUGUCCUAGUCUUCGGUGCCAUAGCCAUAUAGUUGCUUGAGCCUUUUCUUCACUGCUAGUUUGGUAUGCAUGACUAAAUUUCUGCCUCCAUUCUCUAUAAGUUCCAUGUAAUAGAGUUUGCCCCAUUUAACACCAUAACUAAAAAUCUUCCGGGUCAAAAUGUCCUGAAAAACACAAAACAACGGCCAAAAGGUUACAGUGCAGGCAAAAGUGGGCGUGAUUUGACUAACAGACAAAAAGUUAUAUUUAAGAGAUGGAACAAUGAGGACUGUAUCUAGUGUGAGAGUACUGGACAAUAUGACAGAUCCUUCUCCAGUAAUAAGAGAGAUACUACCAUUAGUUGUAGAUAUAACCGAUUGGUGAGAUAGGCAAAUAGAUUGUAUCUUGCUAGAGUCUUUAGUCAUAUUGUAACGCCCUCACAUUGGACACUCCAGUACAGUCUACUAUUUCGGCGCCUGAUGUCUGCCCGGACAGUCAAGACGUAUGGAGCUAUACCGGAAAGUGACUGCGAGGUCAAUUUUAAUCCUAAUUUUGAACGAGGAAUUUUGACACCGCAGUCCUAAGAAGUAUUGCAAACCUUCAUAAGUGACAAUUAGCAUCGAAGGAUCUUCCAGGCAUCUCUCAACAUGCUUCCUGGCUGGGCAACCUCUCAGACUGCUACAUUUGUAAUAUCCCCUAGGAUGUGGAGAGCCCUUAAUUGGCUUUUGGCCAUAUUUCCUCCAUGAAUACUCGUCAGGAGGAAUAUCUGCAACUUUGUUACUAAUAGCAGGCACCUUUAUGGAUCUCUUCACCCUCAGUUUCCUUCUCUUUGAACAAUGACAUUUACCAGUACUCCCACAUUUCACACUGCCAUCUUCCCCUCUACCAGAACACCUUCUCUUUGUCCGUUGUGAGAUAUGAUCUGAUGACUGAGGCACACCGAUCAAAUGGAAUGAAUCUCCAUUAAAGUUAGCCACAGUACCAUCCAUGCUCAGAGAUGAUAUGAAUGAUCUUGUUGAUGACAUGGCUUGUGUACAAGCAGACCCAUCAAAUUUAAGGUUAAUCCCACUGUUACUCCUGGAGUACAUCAUAUCGGCUUGAUAUUUCAAUUGUUGCUGCUGCUGAAACUGCAUCCUCUGUAUUUGCUGCUGUUGUUGAAGGAACUGGUAGUGUUGUGAUGGUUUUAUUUGGGCAUUUUGGAGAGGAGGCCUAGCAUUUGAGUUCAUUUCAAGCACUGGGUUCUCAAGAAAAGAUAUCUGGGUAGGUUGCAUACAAGAUUUAGACUUGGAAUCCAUUUCAGUAAGUGGGGUUUCAAGAAAAUUAGCAGGCACCAUUUGGAGGGGCUUUGGUGCCAAAAUUGUUCUGCAAUUGGGGCUAUCUAGGAAGAUGCUUUGAGGCAAAGAUGAUCUAAACUUCUUCAGCUUUCUCACUCUUCCAUGACCAAAACUAGUGCUCAGAAGAGACAACACUCUCUUAAACUUAGACACAGCCUCUCCAGUUUCCAUCAUCAAGUUCCUAGACAGAACUUGAUCUCUGGGUUUGCAAAGGAGGUCCACAACUUUGUGGCAGCUCUCAACAGCUGCCUUGUUUGCUUCCUCAAUCUCCUCCAUACUCACCCAAAACUCAAAAGAAUUUAUCUUCAAUGGUUAAAACCCUUAUAAACCCCUAAAACCAAGUGCAUCACGAAGACAGCUCAAAGACUCAGAGUACCAGCACAAGAACAAAAUAUCCAGAAAACCAUUUCCAUAAAUGGCAUAUACCCAAAUCGGUAUUGGUCAAAACUCAAUAUAUUUGCACCAUCAAAAUGUUGUCAAAACAGAAGCAGAGUGAGACUGCAAGGCUUCAUACUGAAAUCAAAAGAUUACCCAGAUAACAUAAUUAGCCAAUUUUCAAAGGAACUAAAACAAAGAAGGCAAAGAGAAAAACACAUAACAAAGACAAAAUUUUGUUAAAUUUUUAUAAAUGAUAUCCUAUAAAGACUAUACCAUAGUGUGAAAGAGAAGACUCGAGCUCUCGUUCUGGGAUUUGUUAAAAUGGC
This 2148-nucleotide unclassified non-coding RNA is filed under the name Hevea brasiliensis (rubber tree). The record is from RNAcentral. Lineage: Eukaryota; Viridiplantae; Streptophyta; Magnoliopsida; Malpighiales; Euphorbiaceae.